GACGAACGCUGGCGGCAGGCUUAACACAUGCAAGUCGAGCGCCCCGCAAGGGGAGCGGCGGACGGGUGAGUAACGCGCGGGAAUCUGCCCUUUGGUGUGGGACAACCACGGGAAACUGUGGCUAAUACCGCAUGAGCCCGAGAGGGGAAAGCCGCAAGGCGCCGAGGGAUGAGCCCGCGUCGGAUUAGCUAGUUGGUAGGGUAACGGCCUACCAAGGCGAUGAUCCGUAGCUGGUCUGAGAGGAUGAUCAGCCACACUGGGACUGAGACACGGCCCAGACUCCUACGGGAGGCAGCAGUGGGGAAUAUUGGACAAUGGGGGAAACCCUGAUCCAGCCAUGCCGCGUGAGUGAUGAAGGCCUUCGGUUGUAAG
Molecule: ribosomal RNA, 372 nt
Filed under: uncultured bacterium
Lineage: Bacteria
Description: bacterial SSU rRNA
Rfam family: Bacterial small subunit ribosomal RNA
Source: RNAcentral